AUGUGGUUUUGUGGGGGAAAUAUUGGAGGUAGGUGGAUGAUUGGACUGCAUGAUCUUGGAGUGUUGGGGGCUUUUCCUGUCAUUGUGGCCCCGGACCAAGAGCCGCGGUGGGAGGCUUUGUCAUAUAAUGUCCUGGGACAUUUACGGCGUACUGUCACUGACCAUGGCAUAGGUGCCCCAUAUACUAUCAAUUUGAUUCAAUCCAUAUGCGAUAGCUCUGUUCUCACGCCGCAUGAUUUCAAAAUGAUGUGUCGCCUUAUUAUGACUGAUAUGCAGUAUACUGUAUGGGAAUCUAAGUGGAGGGGACUGGCAGAGAUUCAGGCAACUGAGAACCUGAUGCUGCCGCGGAGAAACCUGCUUCGGACUGUGGACGUGAGUGCUUUGAUGGGGGAGGGAGAUUUCUCCACUCCAGCUCGACAGGCGCGAAUUGCUGUGGAAGGGCUGCAGCAAGUUGGGCAUUUGGCAAUGUGUGCUCUCGGGACUGUGCCAGAGGCUGGAAACCUGAAAGCAGAAUCGCCUCUGCUCGACCUUUUGUUUUCUCCAACUAUGCUCUUUCAGUCGUGGGCACUAAUAGUGAUAGGUUUGAAAGACUGUUUCUUUAACAUCCCAUUGUGCCCUCAGGAUGCCCCUCGCUUUGCAUUCUCUGUUCCUUCCAUUAACGCUGCCGAACUGCAUCGUCGUUAUCACGGGACUGUGCUGCCACAGGGAGUGAUACAGGCAGCGACCGCAGCAGGGCAAAAAAUUGCUGAAGAUAAGAUUCCAAAGACACCUCCUUGCUUAUACUUGGGCUGGAAGAUCUCACAACAGAAUAUUCAGCCACAGACUCUGACAAUAGGAACAAAGAUCAAUACACUGAAAGCUAGAACAGCUCUGAAUACAGCUGUUACAAAGACGACUCAACAAGCAGCACACAGCAGAAAGCUACAUCAGCCUAUUAAUGUUUUUGUUAUUGACUACUUGUUGCCGGUUUCUAAACUGUCAUUAACCCCCCUUGCAGGUGGGUGCUCUUACUGUUUUUACAGAUGGAUCUGGCAGGACUGGCCAUGCAGGGAUAGUAUGGAGGAAUAG
This 1068-nucleotide long non-coding RNA is filed under the name Numida meleagris (helmeted guineafowl). RNAcentral describes it as "lncRNA (ENSNMEG00000004635.1)". Lineage: Eukaryota; Metazoa; Chordata; Aves; Galliformes; Numididae. The record is from RNAcentral.